RNAcentral lists this long non-coding RNA (2107 nucleotides) under Mytilus galloprovincialis (Mediterranean mussel). The record is from RNAcentral. Lineage: Eukaryota; Metazoa; Mollusca; Bivalvia; Mytilida; Mytilidae.
CAAAUACAUCGAUCUGAUACUAGAAUAUCGAUCCCCUUGCCAUAUUCACCCGGAUUUAUUUUAGCUUUACCAAGCUAAGCAAGAGUUGUAUCCCUUAGAUUGUCGAACUUCCGGUGUUUGUUUGAGUCGAACUACGUAUAUCUCGAAAUAUUUUUCUGGUCCGGCUGACUUCGACAUAACGAGAGUCGACUGUAUAAUAUAUAUGUAAAAUUGUGCUGAUAUUUUAUGAUGUAUUUCAUAUUGAUCUGAAAAAGUACGUUUUGUACUUUUAAUGCAUUAUAGAUAUGUAGGACUCUAAAGUGCGAUGGGGACGCUAAAGUACAAUGGUCACGCUAAAACGGAUGGUCUGCGCUAAAGUGCGAUGCCUCCAUACGCUGAAGUCUGAUGGUCUGCGAAAGUAUAGACGUAAGAAAGGUAGUUGAAAUAUGACGUUAACAGUCGUUUAUACAAACUAAAAAUUAACAUGCUGGAAGACAAAUUAAAAAUAUUUGAUUAAGAACUUUUCAACCAAAUGUCAAUGACUUAUUUAACUUAAACCUAACUGUGCUUUGUGAGUUAAAGGAAAGAUGUUUUAUUUCAGUAGCUUAAAGAAGAACUUGUAUCCUGCAGUUGACCGUUUUACCAUAGGCCCUAUAGAUACAAGUAGUAUUCAAAUAGAUAUCCUGUAUCCUGCUUUUAUUGGAAGCGAACAGAUGCAUUUGAAUCAUUGUUUAUGUUAGAGUUUAUUUUGCUGUUCCCGUUAAAAUGUUGUCGCUUUUAUUGAAAAGUAACGUGGGCAAAAUAAUGGUACACAUUUUGAUGCGUAAAAUAUGAAUUGUCGGCUAAAAGAUUAGUUUGAACAUUGCAGGAAAAUAUAACAUGGAUGUGUAGUCGCUACAAAACAAGAGAAAAUUUAGCUCGACAAACAUCGCCUUUCUCUCUCAUUUAAAUUAAAACCUUAACCAAAAGAUGUUACAUAUUCUGACAAUAAUCAAAUUUUGUAUUUGUAAUUAUUUACAAUCUUUUAGAAUCAUUCACUUAAGACUACUAUAAAAUUAUAAUGCCUAUCACAUAUGGUAUACCUUAUAAUACUAAAUUUUGCUAAGAACCAUUUUUACAUUAAAUGUUCUGUAAUGUUUCUUAAAGCCCUGGAACCUUAUCUCAUUGGUCCAUCGCACUUUAGCGUGAUUUACCAUUGUACUUAAGCAAACAAACAACUAUUGCACUUUAGCUUGAGACACCAUCAUACUUUUGCCUAGACCAUUGCACUUUAGUGUACAAUCGUACUUAAGGGUCCUACAAAUAUAUCUUUUUUAUACCCCUGCUUUAAAAAAAGGGGGGAGAUAUACUGUUUUACCUCUGUCUGUCCGUCCCAUGAAUAUUUUCAUUGCAUUUUAUAGCCAAGUUGCAAAUUUUCAUCACAUUUUUCUUUGGAACUACAAUACAAGGAUUUCUAAAAUUUGGUUUCAGAGUUUAUAUAAGUAAGUAGUACUGUGUGAUACGUUUUCAGAUUCAUCACUCAGCAACUUCCUGUUUACCGAACACUUGUAUCAUUUUACACAUGAUAGUCAAGUAAAACUUUCGUCACAUUUUUCUUAUCUUCUUACGAACCACUGUACAAGGAUUUCUGAAAUUUUGUUUCAGGGUUUGUAACUUUAUACCGUGUGGUGGGUUUUCAGAUUCAUCACGCAACAACUUCUGUUUACCCACUAAAUAUUUCGUCCGGGGUAUCAUCAGUGAGCAGUAGCUCACAGUUUUACUUGUUUCAUAUGUUUUUAGUCAAUUACAUCAAUGUUACUAUGCAUACUAUAUAAUUGCUUUGUCUUGUCCUUUCAAAAUAACAAUUGAAACAAAAAUGUUUUUCAAAGUUUCAGUUUUAAUUCAUCUUUUAGAAAUGUAUUUUUGAUGAAAAUUAUAUCUGUGUAACAGUUAGUUGUAUUUUUGCAAGUUAUACCCUUUUUGAUAUUAUGUCUAUUCCGUCCAUUGUUUAAUAAACUAUUUAAAUGUGAUAAAUUGUUACAGUCUAAACUUUUGUUAGAGAUUUUUUUCUAGAUUUACAUGUAUUGUAUUAUGUUGUAGCAUUCACAUGCCUUUAUUGUAAUGUUAUUGUUGCAUACUUAUUAUGUUA